CUUCGACACGCCCCCUGGUUUCAUACUGACGAUUUUAUUUCCCGCUUUCUUUCUGUUUUUAAAGCAUCUGUACUGUUAUUUCUGGUAACUGCGUGAGGUGGGAAUACACCCUAGAUGAAACACCAAGCCAUCUCAUACACAUUCACACCCAGGGGUAAUUCAGAGUCACCACCCCACUGUCCGGCAGGUUUCAGGGAGGAAACCAAGGAGAACCCAGUGGACACAGGGAGAACUUGGAGCAGACAGAAGCCGAGCUCAGGAUCACACUUAUACACUCCAGGAUAAAACCAAGAGUCCAGCCACCACCUUGUAGAAGAAAUCCCAGUGGAUCUUUUGAUGUUUAACAGAAUGAAUGCUCUGUAUUAAACACAUCACACUUGAAGUUCGGUCAUGAUUGCCUGUUGUGUUAAAUAUAUCCCAAUGCUACUACAGCUUAUAGGAAUGACCGCAUCAGUGCGGUGUGGCAUGGAAGGAAUCAGCCUGUGGCACUGUUGAGGUGUUAUGGAAGCCCAAGCUGCUUUGAUAGCGGCCUUCAGCUCGUCUGUAUUGUUGGGUCUGGUGUCUCUUGUAGAUUCUCCAUGGGGUUCGGGUCAGGCGAGUCGGCUGGCCAAUCAAGCACAGUAAUACCAUGGUCAGCAAACCAGUUACUAGUAGUUUUGGCACUGUGGACAGAAAAGGAAAUCAGAAUCUCCAUAAAGCUUGUCAGCAGAUGGAAGCAUGAAGUGCUGUAAAAUCUCCUGGUAGAUGGUUGCAUUGACUCUCGACUUGAGAAAACACAGUGGACCAACACCAGCAGAUGACAUGGCUCCCCAAAUCAUCACUGUCUGUGGAAACUUCACACUGGACUUCAAGCAACUUGGAUUCUGUUCCUCUCCACUCUUCCUCCAGACUCUGGGACCUUGAUUUCCAAAUGAAAUGCAACAUUUACUUGCAUCUUCUCCGUGAUUGUGGUUUUGUGUACUGAACCAGACUGAGAGAUUAAAGGCUCAGG
Molecule: long non-coding RNA, 991 nt
Organism: Ictalurus punctatus (channel catfish)
Lineage: Eukaryota; Metazoa; Chordata; Actinopteri; Siluriformes; Ictaluridae
Source: Ensembl